CUGGAGGGUUCGGACGAUUUAAAAGAGCCACUGUGAUUUUUUUUUUUUUACAGAGUCAAACCCACCCAUGAAAACCCAGUCACCCUGCUUCUCCCAUCCUCGUUCCCGCACCUCUAGGAGUGGAAGGGGCCACCGCCUGGCGGAAACCCGCGUGCCCGGGGCUAACCUCCAGGCCCAGCCAUCAGUCACCGCGCCCGCCCGCGCUCUACGCCGCCUUCCCGAGCCCUCGACCUGUAGGGCUGGAAGCUCUCGGCCUCCCGGGCGCUCAGCGCCUCUUCCCCCGGCUUCGCUGCGCCCAGCGCGCUGCCCUUCCCUCUUCCUAGCCGCCCCGGCGCCUUCCCUACCGCUGCGUUGUUGGUAGAGGGCAGGCAAAGAGGCGCGCGUUUCGGGGUGCCCAGCUCAAGGAAGCGCUGCUGCCGAGGGGGAAGCCAGCAGCCGGCUCCCGCACUGCUCGGCAGCAGCCCUUGGGGAUAAACCACGAGGGAGCCCGGUACCAGCAACCGUAGGGCUAGCUCAGCACCACCGCGCCACGGGGGAGCUCACCGCAAGGCCGAAGGUCGCGGGCGCAGGAGGAUCCGAGGAGACAGGCAGGAGGGCGCACUACGGAGCGCACUGGCCGCAGCUGAAGAAGUGCCCCGGAGAAGCCACAGAGCCACCCCCUGGAGACGCACUCCUGGACUUGGCCAGCUCCACGAUCGCUCGCUGAGCUGACUGCUCUCCCCCUCCCUGGGAACAAGCCCAGCAUUUUACACACCCAGCUUCUCUCUGAGGGUCUCCAGUAUGCUCUCCCUCGUGCUCUGCUGGACGCCUGCUGCAGGGGACACACUCUGCUAGGCUGCGGACUUGGGCACCACAUACGGACUCCACGCCAGUGAGACCCAGGGAGUUUUUUGUGCCACCCUGUAACCCCAGGAAGUCACCACCGGAGCCACCAACAUGAGGAUUGCACCACCCAAACCAAAAAUUCUUUCCUCUUCUGGAACCCCAGCCAGCCUUUCCCUCUCCGGCUGUCUGACCUUCCCCUCAGCCCUUGCCACCUUUGCUCCUGGACCCCUCGGAACACAGCGUCAAGGACCUACAUUCUACAGAGAUUGCCAGAUGCCUGCUUUGCCUACACCCUGCAUUCCCAAUGAGAGGCACCUGGAGCCCACCUGAAUUCCAGAUACCAACUGUGUGACUGAAUAGACUUCCUAACCUCGGGGGGUUCUUUGGCUGCAGGGGACUUGGCUGAACCCUCUAUCUGCAGGAGCCCUGCAGAUAAGACUCAUGUGCUAGAUUGCUAGAGAUACCUCUGGUGUGCUGGAUGCUUAAUGGGCACUUACCUCUGAAGGACUGGGGCUGGUGGACGGCUCCAUUCAGUUUUGGGAGCGCUGGGAUCUCCUAGGCCACAGGCCACAGCAGCUGGCCUCAGGGCUGGAUUCUCGGGCUGCUCUGGCCUGUUGCUUCUCAGGCUUCGGCUCAGGCUUCGGCUCAGGCUUCGGCUCAGGCUUCGGCUCAGUCUCCAGCCUCGGCUCAGGCCUUGGCACAGGCCUUGGCUCAAGUUUUGGCCUCGGCUCAGGCCUCGGCUCAGGAGGCCUUGGCACAGGCCUUGGCACAGACCUUGGCUCAAGUUUCGGCCUCCACUCAGGCCUCGGCUCAGGGGGCCUUGGCACAGGCCUUGGCUCAAGUUUUGGCCUCCGCUCAGGGAUUGGCUCAGGCCUCGGCUCAGGCCUCGGCUCAAGUUUUGGCCUCGGCUCAGGCCUCCGCUCAGACUUUGGCUUAGGCUGGAGAAGAGGCUCAGUCUGAGGAGAUGUAGGAUUCUGGGAUAGGGCCCUGAGAUCAUCCUCAUCAUCCAGAUCCUGCACAGUGAACUGGGUGCUGACCACUCGGCCCCUGAGGAGAAGCAAAAGUCCUUGAUAGGGUCUCAAAAACAAGUCUUCUCCAGCUGAGUCUAGCCCACUCCUUCCCCCUCUCUUUGUUGCUGGAUGGGGAAGCCUGUGGGUCACCUUGUCAGGCCUGGGCACUCCCACCUCAUACCCCUGUCCCUUCAGCUGCUUACCCCCUCUCCCUUUUUAAGUAGAAGGAAGGAAGCAGUUGGUGAGAAGUCACUGCCAAGUUGGACAACUGCUCAGGCAGAGGCAAGAGACCCUCCUUUGGGAAGGACAAACUGGCCUUUUCCUGGUUGUGGGUGGGCUUCUGCCUUGGCGUGGACAGGGGGUGUUGAACACAAAAGGCUUUCUUUAAGGGGGUCACAGCUAAAAGUAUGAAAGUCUCCCAUGUGAAGAGUGGUCUUCACAUUCCCACCUUGGUGGGAGAAAAAAAACCAAAGGGCUCAUGGCUCUGCUUUGGUAAGGCAACCUCUGGAAGGGGUGACUGGGCUUCUUCAGGAAAUAGACCCUCUCCCCAUAAACACUACACUGGGUGGAUUAAGGAGUCUGAGAUUCCCAGUUGCAGGGAAAAAAAACUUUAUGCACAAACAAGCGUGCACCUAUGAGUGCCGCUACUGGCCCAAAUUCCUACUUAUGGACAGGGAACACUAGAGGGAAGGUGCAUAAAGAG
This is a long non-coding RNA of Meriones unguiculatus (Mongolian gerbil), 2538 nucleotides long. RefSeq lists it as uncharacterized. Lineage: Eukaryota; Metazoa; Chordata; Mammalia; Rodentia; Muridae. The record is from RefSeq and is a predicted model, not a curated record. The transcript is spliced from 4 exons.